CCAGACAGCCAGGAUGUUGGCUUAGAAGCAGCCAUCAUUUAAAGAAAGCGUAAUAGCUCACUGGUCGAGUCGGCCUGCGCGGAAGAUGUAACGGGGCUAAACCAUGCACCGAAGCUGCGGCAGCGACACUAUGUGUUGUUGGGUAGGGGAGCGUUCUGUAAGCCUGUGAAGGUGUGCUGUGAGGUAUGCUGGAGGUAUCAGAAGUGCGAAUGCUGACAUAAGUAACGAUAAAGCGGGUGAAAAGCCCGCUCGCCGGAAGAC
RNAcentral lists this ribosomal RNA (261 nucleotides) under Escherichia coli. Its description in RNAcentral is "partial 23S ribosomal RNA". It matches the Rfam family "Bacterial large subunit ribosomal RNA", at positions 1085 to 1345 of the family's 2925-position model. Lineage: Bacteria; Pseudomonadati; Pseudomonadota; Gammaproteobacteria; Enterobacterales; Enterobacteriaceae. The record is from RNAcentral.